Molecule: small nuclear RNA, 118 nt
Organism: Schistocerca gregaria
Lineage: Eukaryota; Metazoa; Arthropoda; Insecta; Orthoptera; Acrididae
Product: U5 spliceosomal RNA
Exons: 1
Source: RefSeq, a predicted model, not a curated record
GCACUCUGGUUUCCCUGCAAAAUGAAUAAAUCUAUUGCCUGUUACUAAAGAUUUUAGUGGUAGGGAAUAUUAAAUGUGUUUGUAAGAUAUUUUUUGUAGUGCCGAAUUCACCAACAAU